GUUCUUGUUUCUUGGUUCUGUGAUUGCUUGUCAUUGUAGACCAGAAAAGCUCUGCAAAGCCAGUUACAAAACCUAGAGUCCUUGAAAGCCCAAUUGGCAGUGACAGAGAGCUAACUGGAAGACUGGGUCAGUGAUGUAAAGGAGUGGGCAGGCGGUGAGGAAAUGAUUACUGUUAAACCUCAAGUUCAGAAUACUUAAAACAUUUAGGUAAACUAAUUUUUCAAGUUCAGAAUCACAGACACCCCAUCACUCCCACAGUUAUCAGCCUUACCCCACUCGUCAUAGUGUUAAUUACAAACAGCUAAUUUACAUAAACAUCACAUUCAGAUCUUGUUUCAAUGUUUGAUGGCAAAUAACACAUGCUAAUAUAACUAUCAAAGAGACUGUCAUUAUAUGUAUAUAAUCAAACAACAUACAGUACAUGUGGUUUCAAAAGUUUAGCAGCCCAUCCUCAACCAAAACACAUGCUCUACUCUUCACCACAGUGGUAACCCUACAAAACUAACUUAACAGAACCUCCUGUAAAUCCCAGAAUAAAUCAAUAUUAAAGAAUAGCCUAUGAUAAUCUGCAAAAACACACAAAAUAACACUUAAUUUCAACAUUUAUUUAUACUGUCUAACACAACGAAUGCAGGAAAUUAGAAAUGUGCUGCAAUUAAACUGCUUACUACAAUUAAAUUUUGAGUUCCAGCUACAGAAGGCCAACAGGAAGUAGAGAAAACACUGUCCAACAGCGACACCAACAGGCCCAAAAGUGAGCGUCAAUCCAAUGUAGCAACAAUGAGUCUUACAGAAUAAUUAACUCAAAUGAUAUAUAGGGAAUUUGAAUAAUUAAUCAGGAAUAUGAUUAAUUUAUAUCUCAGAUGACAGUUACAUUAAAUUUGAUUGAUUAUGAAAAAUAGCUCAAUUGCCUAUAACAAUAAAUAAUCACAGGGCACUGUAACUUACUCAUUAAUAUGUCAAUAUUACAUUCUUCAUAUCAAUUAUUGUGAUAUCUCUUACUGUAAAUUACUGCAAAUCAAACCGUGGUAUGUCCAGCAAAC
This 1043-nucleotide long non-coding RNA is filed under the name Carassius auratus (goldfish). Its description in RNAcentral is "lncRNA (ENSCARG00000055933.1)". The record is from RNAcentral. Lineage: Eukaryota; Metazoa; Chordata; Actinopteri; Cypriniformes; Cyprinidae.